UCAGGAUGAACGCUGGCGGCGUGCUUAACACAUGCAAGUCGAACGGAGUUUUAACGGAAGUUUCGGAUGGAAGUUUAAGAACUUAGUGGCGGACGGGUGAGUAACGCGUGGGUAACCUGCCUCAUACAGGGGGAUAACAGUUAGAAAUGACUGCUAACACCGCAUAAUAUAGUGAAACCGCAUGAUUUUGCUAUCAAAUAUUUAUAGGUAUGAGAUGGGCCCGCGUCUGAUUAGCUAGUUGGUGGGGUAAAAGCCUACCAAGGCGACGAUCAGUAGCCGGCUUGAGAGAGUGACCGGCCACAUUGGGACUGAGACACGGCCCAAACUCCUACGGGAGGCAGCAGUGGGGAAUAUUGGACAAUGGGGGAAACCCUGAUCCGGCGACGCCCGCGUGAGUGAAGAAGUAUUUCGGUAUGUAAAGCUCUAUCAGCAGGGAAGAUAAUGACAGUACCUGACUAAGAAGCCCCGGCUAACUACGUGCCAGCAGCAGC
RNAcentral lists this ribosomal RNA (491 nucleotides) under uncultured bacterium. RNAcentral's name for it is "bacterial SSU rRNA". It matches the Rfam family "Bacterial small subunit ribosomal RNA", at positions 24 to 518 of the family's 1533-position model. The record is from RNAcentral.